UAACGAGCGUUGAGAAGGAAUAGUAAGCAGGACCUGCUGUGUAAAGAGAGCAAAUGACACGCUGAAACAUUUGCCACAGACAGCUGCUGAACCUACCCUUUGAGCCUUAGAGGAAAAAUCUAAGCGCAUGCCUGGCGUUACAGGAGUUAAGUGGAAUAAGCAGACGUAUGCUUAUUCAAUGAAGGUGGUACCACGGAAAAUCCCUUUUUCGUCCUUUAC
Molecule: non-coding RNA, 219 nt
Filed under: Bacillus altitudinis
Lineage: Bacteria; Bacillati; Bacillota; Bacilli; Caryophanales; Bacillaceae
Description: T-box
Rfam family: T-box leader
About the family: Uncharged tRNA acts as the effector for transcription antitermination of genes in the T-box leader family. T-boxes are found upstream of many aminoacyl-tRNA synthetase genes and some amino acid biosynthetic genes usually in Gram-positive bacteria.
Source: RNAcentral